GAUAUGUUGGAAUCAUUUUUUAAUUAUUUUUUUUUUUGCCCAAGAGGGGCCAGGUGGAAAAUCUGUGACUCAAGAGGCAGUGAACAUAAUACCAUUUUCUGGGGGAAAAAAUUGGUCGGCUACUUGAUGUUAAUUAUGGCACAGUAACAGGAAAAGGUUGUGUCUGUGUUUUUAAGUUUUUCUUUAUUCUGCUUUUUUGCUGCUAUAAGAGUUUUCUGAAAUUUAUAUUUUAAACUUUUCAUGCACUUUACUGUUUCUAGUCUCAAAAUGUGAUAUUUUUAAUAAACAAAUUUUCCAUUAUGUGAAUGAAAUUUUAAAAGAAAAUAGCCUAUAUUUGUGUCUCACUAAUAUAUAAAGUACAGGUCAAAUUUAAAUUAUUUAAUUUUAUUAGUUUUAAAUAUAUACAAUUUGUCUCUUUCAAACUUGACAUCUUAGGCUGUUUUAUUAGUCUUAACUGAUGGAUUUUCUUUGGUCGUUUUGUACUAAUUUCUCCCGUAGUAAAUUAAUCAGGCUAUAUAAGAUAAUAUUUCCCCUGAAGGGUAAUUUUAGUGGGAUGAGGGUGGUGGGAUGAUGUAAUAUCUAUGUGGGAUUGCAUCAGAAGGGUUCUGUAAACCCUAAACUCCCUUUUAAAAGUGCCUAGUGAUAGAGGCAUUGUUUGUCAUCUACUGUAAUUGGAAUGUCAUUGUAGUUCAGUGAAGUUUGAUGUAAAUAAAAUAUUCUUUUAGAAAUGUUAAAGUACAAGAGUAAAAUAAAAAGAAACCCUUAAAGAUGACAGAUUUUCCUCAACGUGCAGGUAUUCCUUCUUAUAUACCUCAAGCAUCCAGCAUCUAGCCAUUCAAAUUGAUUACGUGAAGCAUAGUACUGGAAAGUAGAAUAGCAUGAAAAACUUAAUUUUGUGGACAUUACCUUUUUUUGUAAUCAGCUACUGUAUGUUUUAUUUUAGAUCUUUUGGGUGGGUUUUCUGCUCUGGAGGUAUAUGCACUAACAAAAUACUUUCCUCCUUUCAUACACGCAUGUUUAUUAGCAAUGUGAGCAAUAUUUCUUACCAUACUUCACUCCCAAUAUUUUUUGAGAUGUUUGUAUAAAAUGGAAUUUAAAGUUCACUUAUGAUUGUAUAUGAACCACAGAGGAGCCCAUUUAUUAAUAAAAAACUUUUUAAAUAGUUAAAUGUAGAGGGAAAAAAUAAAAAAAAAUUGGGAAACAUUGUAAACAGCUUAAGUUUAUUUUGUGUAUGAUCAAGGCACUCUGUUGCAGGAAGGUGUGUAAUUGGGUUCUCUCUGCUUCCAAAUGCACUCUUUCAAACCCUUCAUUAUCCUGUGUAUUUUUAAUGUGGUUUUAGUAAUGUUAGUAGUAGCUUUGUUGAAGUAGGUAAUUGUGUUAUGUUUUAGGUGGUACCCACACUUGGGGCAUGGUAACCCAAAUUUCAUGUGCACGGUUUCCCUUUUGCCCAUUGCCCGAAUUUCACACACCCUUCACCCUAUGUUCCCUCUGUAAAAGGAGUGGUAUCUGUUCUGAGCUGCCAAUUCAGAUGAUCAGAAAUGCUGCUGUCCUCAGCAUUGUCUUGUUAAAACUCAUGCCAUUUGGAACUUUGGCAGUGAGAAGCCAAAAGGAAGAGGUGAAUGACAUAUGGUAUAAAUUCAAUGAAAGUAAAAUAUAUAUGCUAAUAUACUUUCUAGUUCUCAGAAUUAAGUUAAAAAGCUUUAUGCUGCAUAUUUUAUCUGAAGAUAAAAGAAAAUUUAGGCAUUUUUGGAUUGUGAUGUAUUAUUUUUUUAAAACUGUUAAAUAUGAUGUCAUUGUCAAAGAACUGGAUUGUUCUUUAAAUUUAUUAAAACAGUGUUGUUUGAGGAAGGGAAAACCACUGUUUGCCAUUGUAACAGUCAUACAAGUGCAUGUCAAGUCACCCACUUUCUCAGGCAUUGGUAUCUGCCUCAUAGCUUUACACACUUUGAUGGGGAAUAUUGCAGCAUCCUCAGGACUGACAUCUGGGAAAGGCUCAAAUCCACUUACUGCUCCUUGCUCGUUAACUUUGUUUUAAAAUAUUGUGCCUGGUGUCAACUUUUAAGCAACAGCACUGCCUAAAAGCAAGCAGAGAUCAGAAUCCCAGCACCAUUCUAUAGGCAACUUUUUAGAAUUGAGAUAUAGUAAAUCUGUUCAAGAUUUAUGAUGUUUUAUGUAAAAAAAAAAAUUUUGUAUGACAUAGCUGAAUAUUUUUGUUUUAUUUCUUUGAUGUACAAGGUGUGUGAACGUUUGUUUGAAUAUCACAUGUUAAAGUCAGGUAUGGCACAAUGGGUUCUGAGACCAGCUUUUUCCCCUCUCCCAUUUGCCUUGUUCCAAGCUUUCUUUUCAAAUUACUUUUCUGAUAUUCUUAGGCAGAUAUUUAAUUUUACUAAUAAGCAUCCUGUGUGAAUGUAUUAAAGAAGCCACUGUAUUUUAGUUUUGUAGUUUGCAGAAAUAUAAAGCUCUUAUAUGCCCCUAUUUUUUGGUGUCUUAAAAUUAUAUAAAUUCACAGAAGAGCAAGGGAGAAAGUUGAAAGAUUUGUAAGGCUCAUAUCACUUGAUUCUAUGGUAAAAUGUUUUAGAAUUGAGGAUGUGGUACAUUAAAACUGGAACAUGGGCAAACGUUGUGUUCCAUUUAAAACUUCUGCCUCCUAAGUAUAUAUUGUUAAAUGGAUAAAAAUUUAAGUUUGUAUUUGCAUUUCCAAGAAUUUCUAAAAAUCACUAAUGCCAUUUGUACUUUUGAUAUCAAAUGGCAAAGAGUAGAGAAAGCACAAGGAAAAAUAGGUUAAAUAUGUUCUUUGAAGGAACCAGAGGCAUAUGGUUUGUCAUUCCUAAUGCAAGGCUAGAUUUUCUAGCAAUAAAAAUUGACAAUUCUAAUAUUUAUUUCAUUCUAAGCUUUUAUAUUCUGAGUUCCUGAGAUAUUUUUAACAGCUUUGCAAAAUAUACUGACCAAUCAGUUGCUUUUGUCACAGAAAACUUUAGUUUUUCCUAUGAUAAUGGUUUUAUUGCAAGUGAAGACUAUGGCACAUUUUCAAAAUAGUAUUUAUACAUAUAUUUUGACAGAAAUGUGAAUUCUCACAUUUGUAAAGUAUUCUCUUUCUCUUUCUCCCACCUGCCCUCCUCUUCAGAAAAAAUUAACUUUCUAAUGUGUAGAUGUGUUUACCCCUUUCCUUUUGAAUUGUAUUAUGUUUGUAGAACUCUGUGAAUUGUAGACAGACAAAUUAAUUGGGGAAGUUAGAAUUAUUUUUCUAAGCCAAGAACUUCAACUAAAGUUUUGAAUUUGUAGACAGAUGAGAACUUUUAUGCUUAUGGUUGCUUUGAGCAAUUUUAAUUAUGUAAUAGCAUCAUAAUCACCAAAUUUAAAUUCAAACAUAAGUAAAUCAGUACAUCUUUAAGCUGGCCUUUUACCAAAAUUAUAAUCUGUUUAAGAAAGAUCCCAAGAGCAUCUUUCACUUUAUAAAGUGAUAUGCCCAUUUUUAUUUUAUGUGUCACCUAAAAGCUUAAGGGGAAAAAGAAAAACCCUUAUAUCUCUACUGCAAGAUGUUCUGAACACAAAAGGAAGGUGGUAAGGGACAGCAUGCGUAUUUCUUGUUUUAACAAAAUACCUUCUUUAUGUAAACUUCUAUGUUAAAUCACAAGUUCCACAACAAGAAAUAGGGAGAUACCAAGAGAAGCAAGCUUUAUUAACCUAGUUAGUAAUUUCUUUUGACAUAAGUUUGGUUAGACUUGCGUUAUUCUUGGAACCAAAGGAAAAAAAGUGUGUUGAAGUUUUCAUUCAGCAAACAUAGCGUUGAAGUAAUGGAAUAUUUUUAAGUAAAAUAGCUCUCACUUUCAAAGCAUAUGAAAUAGACAUUUCUGACUAUUAAAUGUUAAUUUUUUGUGGCACAUCAUAUGUUGUAUUGAGCUGAAAUUAGAAGUAUGUCAUCAGAAAUAACAUUAUGAAAAGGGUAUGCAAAUGCCAAGUGAUAUGACUCUUGGCAUGGUAGCACGGUAUGUGCAGCUUUCAGAAUCUUUCAGAAGGCAUAGUUUGGCACCUGUAAGUAGUUAUUUUUGUUAUAACAAUCUCCCUUAAUUUAGGUAAUUUCCCUGUUUGUGUGUCAC
Molecule: long non-coding RNA, 4097 nt
Organism: Galeopterus variegatus (Sunda flying lemur)
Lineage: Eukaryota; Metazoa; Chordata; Mammalia; Dermoptera; Cynocephalidae
Exons: 2
Source: RefSeq, a predicted model, not a curated record